AGAAUUUGCAGAUGUAUAACUUUCUUUUUUUUCCUAAUCUUACCCUUGUAAAAAGGAUUCAUGAUCUUUUAAAGCUAAGUAUUUCUGAUCAGAUAAUGAAGUGUCUUAUAUACCUUGGGGGGGGCACUUCCUGUGACUUGUGCUGGUGACCAAAAUUAGAGAGGAUGUGAAGGGUCGAAAAGGGCAGAGCAGGCCGGCCCUGGGCCAUUAGUUUACACGCGCACUGUCGACUCCCCUUGGCAAUGGUGGUGGUGAAGCCUUCUGUAUACAGACAACUGAUUCAGAUUGGUUACUUAGAAUCUGAGAAAGUCUUGACCAAAAAUCCUUAAGUCCACCAACCCAUUCCAGCAAAAUACUAUCAGAGUAGUGCUGUCCAAACUAGAUUCUUCUGUAUGUGCUUGUUGUUUUUUAAGUAAAAACCAUGAGCAUCUACCACUUAGCCCAUUUGUUGCUAGAAGGGAAAAUAAUCUUCUAGCUUCCAGUCAAAACAUAUUCAGUUGUCAAUGAGUUUUGAUAUGUUAAAACAUCCAGAAGUAUUUUUAGAAUUUUAAGAUUUCCAUGCUAACAGACUACUUGAACGUUCAUGCUAAUAGUAUGAUUAAAUACUUCAUUGAAGUUCUCUGAAAUGUUACACUUCCAUUAUAUAUGAUAAUGUUCUGAAAGAGACUGGGCUCAUGUGACAGGAUUGCAUUUUAACAGAUCUUUAACUGGGACAGUUCAGAAAUUAUGCUUGGUCAGUUCUCCUGGAUGGUACGUCAUGUUAAUAUAACCUAUACUAUAGUUGAAAUUGGGUUAUGCCAUUACUCAUAUGUUGGCUUAGGUACUGUACAUAGUCUUAAUAGCUGAGAUGUUAAAGAAUAUGAAGUCUAAAAAUACAAAGGAUGAAACAGGCCUAUAUUAACCUGUUUUAAGACUGCUUUGGAUAUAAAGGCCUUAUUCCCUUAUAUAUGACUUUUUAGAAGAUAAUAUAUAUUCACAGUAUAUUUUAAAUGGUCAUGUGGGUCAUCUCUAACUACUCUCCAGGUGACAAAAUUUGCAACAUUUUUAAUUUAUGUGGACAACAAACUCCACAUUCACAAGUGUUUAUGUUCAUCCUAUGUAUAAAACAAAGAAUUCUCUUUCUGAUACUAUACUCAUUGACCAAAUCCCAUGUACAGGAAGACAUUUAGGGUAUAUUCAGUUUGGUUUUUUUGGAGAUAUGUCUUAUUUUGGGGAUCACCUUCCUCUUAUACAUUUACUUGAUCCUCUGGAAGUUGAUAGAGUUGUGGGUAAUCAUGUAAAUGCUUAUGAAUAAAAUUUUAUUGAAGUGAUUCCAUUAGUAUUCUAAUCUCUAAUACAUGGAAAAUGACCUUCAUAUUUAUAUUUUUUGUUAAUUUUCCAACUGUUAAUCCAGGAAAUGUUUUCCUUUUUUUUUAUCAAAACUAAUUUUUUAUUGUAAAAUAUGAGUAAUGUAAAGGUGAAUCUUACACAUGUUCAAUAAAAAUCAUAUCUUAAAG
This 1496-nucleotide long non-coding RNA is filed under the name Bos taurus (domestic cattle). Its description in RNAcentral is "long non-coding RNA NONBTAT018250". Lineage: Eukaryota; Metazoa; Chordata; Mammalia; Artiodactyla; Bovidae. The record is from RNAcentral.